GGGGAUUUAGCUCAGCGGUAGAGCACUUGCCUAGCAAGCACAAGGCCCUGGGUUCGGUCCCCAGCUCCG
Molecule: non-coding RNA, 69 nt
Organism: Rattus norvegicus (Norway rat)
Lineage: Eukaryota; Metazoa; Chordata; Mammalia; Rodentia; Muridae
Source: Rfam